Schistosoma haematobium is the source of this 78-nucleotide non-coding RNA. NCBI's taxonomy places the organism in Eukaryota, Metazoa, Platyhelminthes, Trematoda, Strigeidida, Schistosomatidae. The record is from Rfam.
AGCCUCCUAAAUUUGUGCCGAAAUUUCGUCAGACGCGAUACCGUCAGUACUGAUGAGUCUCCCAAUAUAAGUGGAGCG